RNAcentral lists this ribosomal RNA (593 nucleotides) under uncultured fungus. RNAcentral's name for it is "eukaryotic LSU rRNA". The stretch from base 210 to 364 matches the Rfam family "5.8S ribosomal RNA". The record is from RNAcentral. Lineage: Eukaryota; Fungi.
CAUUACCGAACUGUCAACACGAGUUGUUGCUGGUCCUCAAACGGGGGCAUGUGCACGCUCUGUUUGUACAUCCACUCACACCUGUGCACCCUCCAUAGUUCUAUAGCCCUGGGGCUCUGUCCCCCUUGUGCCGUGGUCCUAUGUAUUUACACACACACGCUGUAAUAAAGUCUCAUGGAAUGUAUGCCGCGUUUAACGCAAUACAAUACAACUUUCAGCAACGGAUCUCUUGGCUCUCGCACCGAUGAAGAACGCAGCGAAAUGCGAUAAGUAAUGUGAAUUGCAGAAUUCAGUGAAUCAUCGAAUCUUUGAACGCACCUUGCGCCCUUUGGCUAUUCCGAAGGGCAUGCCUGUUUGAGUAUCAUGAACACCUCAACUCUCAUGGCUUGCCAUGAUGAGCUUGGACUAUGGGGGUCUUGCUGGCCUGUGGGGCCAGCUCCUCUCAAAUGAAUCAGCUUGCCAGUGUUUGGUGGCGUCACGGGUGUGAUAACUAUCUACGCUUGUGGUUUUCCACCAGGUAAACCUUCAGCAAUGGAGGUUCACUGGGGCUCAUAAAUGUCUCUCCUCAGCGAGGACAGCUCUUUGAAUGUUUG